RNAcentral lists this ribosomal RNA (449 nucleotides) under uncultured bacterium. RNAcentral's name for it is "partial 16S ribosomal RNA". It matches the Rfam family "Bacterial small subunit ribosomal RNA", at positions 29 to 523 of the family's 1533-position model. The record is from RNAcentral.
AACGAACGCUGGCGGCAUGCCUAACACAUGCAAGCCGAACGAGAUCUUCGGGUCUAGUGGCGCACGGGUGCGUAACGCGUGGGAAUCUGCCCUUUGGUUCGGAAUAACAGUUGGAAACGACUGCUAAUACCGGAUGAUGACGAAAGUCCAAAGAUUUAUCGCCAGAGGAUGAGCCCGCGUAGGAUUAGCUAGUUGGUGUGGUAAAGGCGCACCAAGGCGACGAUCCUUAGCUGGCCUGAGAGGAUGAUCAGCCACACUGGGACUGAGACACGGCCCAGACUCCUACGGGAGGCAGCAGUGGGGAAUAUUGGACAAUGGGCGAAAGCCUGAUCCAGCAAUGCCGCGUGAGUGAUGAAGGCCUUAGGGUUGUAAAGCUCUUUUACCCGGGAUGAUAAUGACAGUACCGGGAGAAUAAGCUCCGGCUAACUCUGUGCCAGCCGCCGCCGUAA